Molecule: ribosomal RNA, 465 nt
Filed under: uncultured bacterium
Lineage: Bacteria
Description: partial 16S ribosomal RNA
Rfam family: Bacterial small subunit ribosomal RNA
Source: RNAcentral
GACGAACGCUGGCGGCGUGCUUAACACAUGCAAGUCGUACGGUAAGGCCCUUUCGGGGGUACACGAGUGGCGAACGGGUGCGUAACACGUGAGUAACCUGCCCACAACUUUGGGAUAACGCUAGGAAACUGGUGCUAAUACUGGAUAUGUGCUCCUGCUGCAUGGUGGGGGUUGGAAAGCUCCGGCGGUUGUGGAUUGACUCGCGGCCUAUCAGCUUGUUGGUGGGGUAGUGGCCUACCAAGGCGGCGACGGGUAGCCGGCCUGAGAGGGUGACCGGCCACAUUGGGACUGAGAUACGGCCCAGACUCCUACGGGAGGCAGCAGUGGGGAAUAUUGCACAAUGGGCGCAAGCCUGAUGCAGCAACGCCGCGUGCGGGAUGACGGCCUUCGGGUUGUAAACCGCUUUCAGCAGGGACGAAGCUUUUUGUGACGGUACCUGCAGAAGAAGCACCGGCUAACUACGUG